UGGGGAAUUUUGCACAAUGGAGGAAACUCUGAUGCAGCGACGCCGCGUGAGUGAUGAAGAUCUUCGGAUUGUAAAACUCUGUCCUUAGUGAAGAUAAUGACAGUAACUAAGAAGCAAGCCCUGGCUAAAUACGUGCCAGCAGCCGCGGUAAUACGUAUGGGGCAAGCGUUGUCCGGAAUUAUUGGGCGUAAAGGGUACGUAGGCGGUUUAAUAAGUCCUAAUUAAAAGGCUAUGGCUCAACCAUAGUAUGGUUAGGAAACUGUUGAACUUGAGUAGAUGAGGGGAAAGUGGAAUUCCAUGUGUAGCGGUGAAAUGCGUAGAUAUAUGGAGGAACAACAAUGGCGAAGGCAACUUUCUGGAAUCAAACUGACGCUGAGGUACGAAGGCGUGGGGAGCAAACAGG
This 403-nucleotide ribosomal RNA is filed under the name Fusobacteriota bacterium. RNAcentral describes it as "Fusobacteria bacterium partial 16S ribosomal RNA". It matches the Rfam family "Bacterial small subunit ribosomal RNA", at positions 355 to 776 of the family's 1533-position model. Lineage: Bacteria; Fusobacteriati; Fusobacteriota. The record is from RNAcentral.